UGCUCACCUGGCGCUCUCCGCGCGGCUGGGCGUCCGCAUGCCCCUCCCCCUGGCGCGGCCUCGGGGCCGCCCCGUGGCCGUACAGGUGGGGAAAGCAGCGGUCGGGGGUCGGGCUAGCUGUGCCGCCUCCGCCUCCCCGCCACCCCCGGGGCCGAGCCGAUGAGAGCCCUUCAGGUCAGGCCCACCUGUCUCAUCAGCCUCUCUGGGCUCAGCAUCCCAGGUUUGUCGACAGCGGCCUCUGUCAUUGCUGCUCAAAGUGCCGAUCUGCAAGGAGGAGAGUUUGCACGGGAAUGGGAGUCUUCUGCAUCACAGCACACACUGUCAAGAGAGUCUGCAGCAGAUGUUGUGGAUCCUCGGCCAGAUCCCUUUAACCCACUGCUGUGAGUGUUCCUACCCACUUCUUUGAUGAAUCCUCCUUGGCCUACAGGGAGCUCCUGGCCAGAGAGACUAUACCUGCUCCCCACCAGGGGAAAUUGACUGACUUGGGGUACAGAGGCCACCCCUUGCCUCCAGGUAGGAACAGCUCUAGUGCAAUGCAGGGUCCAGGGCAGCUCAGGAGAUCAGGCAGAAGCUAGUCCUCAGCUGAGGCCACUUCUUGCUCAGCUUUUGCCUCCUGCCCUAGCUUGCUUUCCUCACUCCCCUUCUCCUUGGAGCGCUCCUUCCAUAAAUUACGUAUACAGGAACCCUUGUCUCAGCCUUGGCUUCCAGCAGUGACGGGAUUCACAGUCCUUGGCUCUCCUCAGAUUCUGCAAGUGGUUUAUGAUCCCAUUGUGGGUUGAAUCCUGGCCCCAAAAGAGGUAUGUCCACAUCCGAAUCCCUGAAACCUAUGAGUGUCACCUGAUUUGGGAAAAGGGUCUUUGCAGAUAUAAUGAAGGAUCUUGAGAUGAGAUAAUCCUGGAUUAGCCAGGUGGGCCCUCAAUCCAGUGACAAGUGUCCUUAAAGAGACACACACAGCGGAGGUGGCCCCGUGAGGACAGAGGCAGGGGCUGGAGUGGGAGCAGGUGACCACAAGCCAAGGAAGGCCUGGAGCCAGCAGAAGCUGCAAGAGGACGGGAAGGAUCCUCCCGUAGAGUCUGUGCAGGGAUCACGGUCCUGCCGCACCUUGAUGCCUGACUCUGGCCUCCAGGACUGUGAGAGAAGAAAUGUCUUGUUUCAAGCCCGCCCCCGGUUGCGAUCAUUUGUCUCGGCAACCACAGGACAUGAAUACCUUCAAAAGGUUAAAAAUUCCCUCUAGUUGUCGAAGCUGCAGUCCUGCCACGUGGAAGUAUGAGUGUGUGCCCGGGCCGGUGGCCCCCUGCCCCCCACGCACAUCACUGGCAUGUCCAGCUUCCCAUCCCCAGGCCCUUACAGGGCCGAGCUUACCAGGAGCCUGUGUGCUGCUGACGUGACGGUGCAUGGUGGCUGCUCUUCCGUCUAUGACAGGGAGUGUAGGGGACUUCUCAGGGCUGUGCUCACUGCCUUGGCCCACCCCCUCGUUCUUCUUGCUCCGAGAGAUACCGUAAAGGCCGAUUUUGUUUUCCUUAGGAUUUCCGGCAAACCACAGCAUGGUCUUCCUGACGGUAUUUUUCAGGAUUGUGUCAUGUUCCAGGAUUCAGCUAUGAUGAUGCUUUCCUUCCUCUACAUUUUAUCCAUCCUCUCAAAAAAUUAGCUCAACAGAGAGCUCAUGCUAGCACACUGGACUCCUCUGUUCCUUCCCUCUUUUUAUCUCCAUCAUGAUUAUUCAUGAUUGUAUAAUCAGGAUUUCUCUUUAGAAGCUCCUUACUUGAUAUUAGCUGACAGAACAAAAGGUUCUUGAUUAAAUGGUGACUCUUUUCUGCUCACUGAAAGUCAAAAGCUAAUGAAGUACUUUGAUCAAAAUGAAUUUUGAUAUCCAUUCUAUGAAAAUAGCAAAAAAACUUCCAGGAGCAAUCAAAUGGCUGUGUGGACCGAUGCUUUCAGAGGUCCGGAACCAUCGAUCAGGAGGUCUGUUUCUGAACAAGGAACUGGAAAAGCCAGAUCUGCUCACGCCAGAGCACAGAUGGGAAGUAAAUGCCUUCUAGGGGCUCCUGGUUCACAGGAGUGCCCCUCCCCACCCCCGACCCUUGCAGCAGCUUUCUCAUUGUCUCCCUGUGCCCAGGUUUGUGAUCCCCAAAUCCCAGUUCCACCAGCCUCCAUGAUCUACCUACAACACAGAUUUCCAUGUGGCCUUCCCUGCUCCCCACUGUCUCCUGUAGGAUAGAGACCACGCUCCCCACACGCAGUCCCAGGCCUUCCAGAUGGGCCCUGCCUUCCCACAGAGUGUGCUCCCACCCCACUGCCUCUCACCUUUAUACCUCUGCACGUGCAGUCCCCUCCUCUGGCGUGCCCUUCCUCUGCCCUGACCAGAUCUCCCUGACCACUCAGCUCCAGUGUCAUGGCCAUUGGGAAGCCUUCUGGCCCUCACUGUGCUCCCAUAACACCCUGAGCCUAUUUUUGUCAUGGCGCUUACAUCAGAGUAUACAAUGAUCUAUUCUUGUGUCUGUCUCCCCAGCACUGAGUUCCCAGGGCAGGAAGUGCAUCUUGUAGAUCUCUGAGUCCCCAGAUCUAGAUCAGUGUGUGUCAAAUGAAGGAUGAAUGAAAUCUCUUGCCUCCUAGAAGGAGUAUCAGGGGCUCAGUCUCACCACCCUGAGAUCAUGACCUGAGCCGAAAUCAAGAGUUGGAUGCUUAACCAACUGAGCCACCUAAGCGCCCCCAUAUUCUGUAUUCUUUCAUUUACCCUGUAAAUUAUCUUGGAACGUUUGAUACUUAUGUUCUGUUUUGUUUUUUUUUAGAUUUUAUUUAUUUAUAUGACAGACAAGC
Molecule: non-coding RNA, 2817 nt
Organism: Leptonychotes weddellii (Weddell seal)
Lineage: Eukaryota; Metazoa; Chordata; Mammalia; Carnivora; Phocidae
Source: RefSeq, a predicted model, not a curated record